This 54-nucleotide small nucleolar RNA is filed under the name Pyrococcus abyssi GE5. RNAcentral describes it as "PABsR57". The record is from RNAcentral. Lineage: Archaea; Methanobacteriati; Methanobacteriota; Thermococci; Thermococcales; Thermococcaceae.
AUGAUGAAUUCACGAAGGAUGAGGUGAAGAGCCUAAUAUGGGAGGCCUCGCUGA